This 467-nucleotide ribosomal RNA is filed under the name uncultured bacterium. RNAcentral's name for it is "partial 16S ribosomal RNA". It matches the Rfam family "Bacterial small subunit ribosomal RNA", at positions 29 to 507 of the family's 1533-position model. The record is from RNAcentral.
ACGAACGCUGGCGGCGUGCUUAACACAUGCAAGUCGAACGGAAAGGCCCUGCUUUUGUGGGGUGCUCGAGUGGCGAACGGGUGAGUAACACGUGAGUAACCUGCCCUUGACUUUGGGAUAACUUCAGGAAACUGGGGCUAAUACCGGAUAGGAGCUCCUGCUGCAUGGUGGGGGUUGGAAAGUUUCGGCGGUUGGGGAUGGACUCGCGGCUUAUCAGCUUGUUGGUGGGGUAGUGGCUUACCAAGGCUUUGACGGGUAGCCGGCCUGAGAGGGUGACCGGCCACAUUGGGACUGAGAUACGGCCCAGACUCCUACGGGAGGCAGCAGUGGGGAAUAUUGCACAAUGGGCGGAAGCCUGAUGCAGCAACGCCGCGUGCGGGAUGACGGCCUUCGGGUUGUAAACCGCUUUCGCCUGUGACGAAGCGUGAGUGAAGGUAAUGGGUAAAGAAGCACCGGCUAACUACGUG